RNAcentral lists this ribosomal RNA (377 nucleotides) under uncultured eukaryote. Its description in RNAcentral is "partial 18S ribosomal RNA". It matches the Rfam family "Eukaryotic small subunit ribosomal RNA", at positions 592 to 976 of the family's 1831-position model. The record is from RNAcentral.
CAAUAGCGUAUAUUAAAGUUGUUGCAGUUAAAAAGCUCGUAGUUGGAUUUCGGGGUGGCCUGGCUGGUCCGCCGCAAGGUGAGUACUGGUCAGCCGCCCUUCCUCUCGAAAGCCCCGACUGCUCUUUACUGCAGUGGUCGGGUAGUUCGGGACGUUUACUUUGAAAAAAUUAGAGUGUUCAAGGCAGGCUAUCGCCUGAAUACAUUAGCAUGGAAUAAUGGAAGAGGACCUCGGUCCUAUUUUGUUGGUUUCUAGGGCCGAAGUAAUGAUUAAGAGGGACAGUUGGGGGCAUUCGUAUUUAAUUGUCAGAGGUGAAAUUCUUGGAUUUAUGAAAGACGAACUUCUGCGAAAGCAUUUGUCAAGGAUGUUUUCAUUAA